RNAcentral lists this ribosomal RNA (501 nucleotides) under uncultured bacterium. Its description in RNAcentral is "partial 16S ribosomal RNA". It matches the Rfam family "Bacterial small subunit ribosomal RNA", at positions 30 to 523 of the family's 1533-position model. The record is from RNAcentral.
AUUGAACGCUGGCGGCAGGCUUAACACAUGCAAGUCGAGCGGGGGAAGGUAGCUUGCUACCGGACCUAGCGGCGGACGGGUGAGUAAUGCUUAGGAAUCUGCCUAUUAGUGGGGGACAACAUCUCGAAAGGGAUGCUAAUACCGCAUACGUCCUACGGGAGAAAGCAGGGGAUCUUCGGACCUUGCGCUAAUAGAUGAGCCUAAGUCGGAUUAGCUAGUUGGUGGGGUAAAGGCCUACCAAGGCGACGAUCUGUAGCGGGUCUGAGUGGAUGAUCCGCCACACUGGGACUGAAACACGGCCCAGACUCCUACGGGAGGCAGCAGUGGGGAAUAUUGGACAAUGGGGGGAACCCUGAUCCAGCCAUGCCGCGUGUGUGAAGAAGGCCUUAUGGUUGUAAAGCACUUUAAGCGAGGAGGAGGCUACUUUAGUUAAUACCUAGAGAUAGUGGACGUUACUCGCAGAAUAAGCACCGGCUAACUCUGUGCCAGCAGCCGCCGUAA